This 672-nucleotide ribosomal RNA is filed under the name uncultured Alphaproteobacteria bacterium. Its description in RNAcentral is "bacterial SSU rRNA". It matches the Rfam family "Bacterial small subunit ribosomal RNA", at positions 97 to 803 of the family's 1533-position model. The record is from RNAcentral. Lineage: Bacteria; Pseudomonadati; Pseudomonadota; Alphaproteobacteria.
GGCAGACGGGUGAGUAACAUGUGGGUAUCUGCCCUUUGGCCUGGAAUAACACGAGGAAACUUGUGCUAAUACCGGAUAAGUCUUUACGGAGAAAGCUUUAUGCACCAUUGGAUGAGCCCGCACUUGAUUAGUUUGUUGGUGGGGUAAUGGCCUACCAAGACUGUGAUCAAUAGCUGAUUUGAGAGGAUGAUCAGCCACAUUGGGACUGAGACACGGCCCAAACUCCUACGGGAGGCAGCAGUGGGGAAUCUUGCACAAUGGAGGAAACUCUGAUGCAGCGAUGCCGCGUGAGUGAAGAAGGCCCUUGGGUUGUAAAGCUCUUUCGUCGGGGAAGAAAAUGACUGUACCCGAAUAAGAAGGUCCGGCUAACUUCGUGCCAGCAGCCGCGGUAAUACGAAGGGACCUAGCGUAGUUCGGAAUUACUGGGCUUAAAGAGUUCGUAGGUGGUUGAAAAAGUUAGUGGUGAAAUCCCAGAGCUUAACUCUGGAACUGCCAUUAAAACUUUUCAGCUAGAGUAUGAUAGAGGAAAGCAGAAUUUCUAGUGUAGAGGUGAAAUUCGUAGAUAUUAGAAAGAAUACCAAUUGCGAAGGCAGCUUUCUGGAUCAUUACUGACACUGAGGAACGAAAGCAUGGGUAGCGAAGAGGAUUAGAUACCCUCGUAGUCCAUGCCGU